AUACGGAGGGUGCAAGCGUUAUUCGGAAUCACUGGGCGUAAAGGACGCGUAGGCGGGAAGCCAAGUCUGAUGUGAAAUCCUAUGGCUUAACCAUAGAACUGCAUUGGAAACUGGUUACCUAGAGUAUGGGAGGGGGAGAUGGAAUUAGUGGUGUAGGGGUAAAAUCCGUAGAUAUCACUAGGAAUACCGAAAGCGAAGGCGAUCUCCUGGAACAAUACUGACGCUAAGGCGUGAAAGCGUGGGGAGCAAACGGGAUUAGAUACCCGAGUAGUCC
RNAcentral lists this ribosomal RNA (274 nucleotides) under uncultured bacterium. RNAcentral describes it as "partial 16S ribosomal RNA". It matches the Rfam family "Bacterial small subunit ribosomal RNA", at positions 523 to 796 of the family's 1533-position model. The record is from RNAcentral.